UGGGCGUAAGCGUGCGUAGGCGGCUUUUUAAGUCGGAUGUGAAAUCCCUGAGCUUAACUUGGGAAUUGCAUUCGAUACUGGGAAGCUAGAGUAUGGGAGAGGAUGGUAGAAUUCCAGGUGUAGCGGUGAAAUGCGUAGAGAUCUGGAGGAAUACCGAUGGCGAAGGCAGCCAUCUGGCCUAAUACUGACGCUGAGGUACGAAAGCAUGGGGAGCAAACAGGAUUAGAUACCCUGGUAGUCCAUGCCGUAAACAAUGUCUACUAUCCGUUGGGGCCUUUGAGGCUUUAGUGGCGCAUCUAACGCGAUAAGUACACCGCCUGGGGAGUACGGUCGCAAGACUAAAACUCAAAUGAAUUGACGGGGGCCCGCACAAGCGGUGGAACAUGUGGUUUAAUUCUAUGCCACGCGAAGAACCUUACCUGGUCUUGACGUAAUAAGAACUUUCCAGAGAUGGAUUGGUGCCUUCGGGAACUUACAUACAGGUGCUGCAUGGCUGUCGUCAGCUCGUGUCGUGAGAUGUUGGGUUAAGUCCCGCAACGAGCGCAACCCUUUUCCUUAUUUGCC
This 564-nucleotide ribosomal RNA is filed under the name Acinetobacter sp. Its description in RNAcentral is "bacterial SSU rRNA". It matches the Rfam family "Bacterial small subunit ribosomal RNA", at positions 555 to 1119 of the family's 1533-position model. Lineage: Bacteria; Pseudomonadati; Pseudomonadota; Gammaproteobacteria; Moraxellales; Moraxellaceae. The record is from RNAcentral.